GGAUUAAGAGCUUGCUCUUAUGAAGUUAGCGGCGGACGGGUGAGUAACACGUGGGUAACCUGCCCAUAAGACUGGGAUAACUCCGGGAAACCGGGGCUAAUACCGGAUAACAUUUUGAACCGCAUGGUUCGAAAUUGAAAGGCGGCUUCGGCUGUCACUUAUGGAUGGACCCGCGUCGCAUUAGCUAGUUGGUGAGGUAACGGCUCACCAAGGCAACGAUGCGUAGCCGACCUGAGAGGGUGAUCGGCCACACUGGGACUGAGACACGGCCCAGACUCCUACGGGAGGCAGCAGUAGGGAAUCUUCCGCAAUGGACGAAAGUCUGACGGAGCAACGCCGCGUGAGUGAUGAAGGCUUUCGGGUCGUAAAACUCUGUUGUUAGGGAAGAACAAGUGCUAGUUGAAUAAGCUGGCACCUUGACGGUACCUAACCAGAAAGCCACGGCUAACUACGUGCCAGCAGCCGCGGUAAUACGUAGGUGGCAAGCGUUAUCCGGAAUUAUUGGGCGUAAAGCGCGCGCAGGUGGUUUCUUAAGUCUGAUGUG
RNAcentral lists this ribosomal RNA (544 nucleotides) under Lacticaseibacillus casei. RNAcentral's name for it is "bacterial SSU rRNA". It matches the Rfam family "Bacterial small subunit ribosomal RNA", at positions 69 to 596 of the family's 1533-position model. Lineage: Bacteria; Bacillati; Bacillota; Bacilli; Lactobacillales; Lactobacillaceae. The record is from RNAcentral.